This 253-nucleotide ribosomal RNA is filed under the name uncultured bacterium. Its description in RNAcentral is "partial 16S ribosomal RNA". It matches the Rfam family "Bacterial small subunit ribosomal RNA", at positions 524 to 776 of the family's 1533-position model. The record is from RNAcentral.
UACGUAGGGUGCAAGCGUUGUCCGGAAUUAUUGGGCGUAAAGAGCUCGUAGGCGGUUUGUCGCGUCGGCUGUGAAAACUCGGGGCUUAACCCCGAGCCUGCAGUCGAUACGGGCAGACUUGAGUUCGGCAGGGGAGACUGGAAUUCCUGGUGUAGCGGUGAAAUGCGCAGAUAUCAGGAGGAACACCGGUGGCGAAGGCGGGUCUCUGGGCCGAAACUGACGCUGAGGAGCGAAAGCGUGGGGAGCGAACAGG